AAGGGAGCGUAGGCGGCUGAUUAAGUCAGCGGUGAAAGGUAGCAGCUUAACUGUUUUACAUGCCGUUGAUACUGGUUAGCUUGAGUUGACAGAAGGCAGAUAGAAUUCCUGGUGUAGCGGUGAAAUGCUUAGAUACCAGGAGGAAUACCGAUUGCGAAGGCAGUCUGCUGCAGUCACACUGACGCUGAGGCUCGAAGGUGCGGGGAUCAAACAGGAUUAGAGACCCCUGU
This 230-nucleotide ribosomal RNA is filed under the name uncultured bacterium. RNAcentral's name for it is "partial 16S ribosomal RNA". It matches the Rfam family "Bacterial small subunit ribosomal RNA", at positions 563 to 791 of the family's 1533-position model. The record is from RNAcentral.